RNAcentral lists this ribosomal RNA (811 nucleotides) under uncultured Leptotrichia sp. RNAcentral describes it as "bacterial SSU rRNA". It matches the Rfam family "Bacterial small subunit ribosomal RNA", at positions 32 to 862 of the family's 1533-position model. The record is from RNAcentral. Lineage: Bacteria; Fusobacteriati; Fusobacteriota; Fusobacteriia; Fusobacteriales; Leptotrichiaceae.
AACGCUGACAGAAUGCUUAACACAUGCAAGUCAUUGGCGAAGCUGCGUUUGCGCGGUCUAGCCAAGGCGGACGGGUGAGUAACGCGUAAGGAACUUGCCCUGCAGACAGGGAUAACAGACGGAAACGACUGAUAACACCUGGUAUUGUCAGGCUGGCGCAUGCCGGCCUGAUGAAAGGAGACGCUGCAGGAGAGCCUUGCGUCCUAUUAGCUAGUUGGUGGGGUAACGGCCCACCAGGGCGAUGAUAGGUAGCCGGCCUGAGAGGGUGAACGGCCACAAGGGGACUGAGAUACGGCCCUUACUCCUACGGGAGGCAGCAGUGGGGAAUAUUGGACAAUGGGGGCAACCCUGAUCCAGCAAUUCUGUGUGCACGAAGAAGGUUUUCGGACUGUAAAGUGCUUUCAGCAGGGAAGAAGAAAGUGACGGUACCUGCAGAAGAAGCGACGGCUAAAUACGUGCCAGCAGCCGCGGUAAUACGUAUGUCGCAAGCGUUAUCCGGAAUUAUUGGGCAUAAAGGGCAUCUAGGCGGCCCUGUAAGUCUAGGGUGAAAACCUGCGGCUCAACCGCAGGCCUGCCCCGGAAACUACAGGGCUAGAGUAUCGGAGAGGUGGACGGAACUGCACGAGUAGAGGUGAAAUUCGUAGAUAUGUGCAGGAAUGCCGAUGAUGAAGAUAGUUCACUGGACGGUAACUGACGCUGAAGUGCGAAAGCUAGGGGAGCAAACAGGAUUAGAUACCCUGGUAGUCCUAGCUGUAAACGAUGAUUACUGGGUGUGGGCAUGAAGAGUGUCCGUGCCGAAGCAAAUGCGAUA